RNAcentral lists this ribosomal RNA (1483 nucleotides) under Bacillus spizizenii. Its description in RNAcentral is "bacterial SSU rRNA". It matches the Rfam family "Bacterial small subunit ribosomal RNA". The record is from RNAcentral. Lineage: Bacteria; Bacillati; Bacillota; Bacilli; Caryophanales; Bacillaceae.
GGACGAACGCUGGCGGCGUGCCUAAUACAUGCAAGUCGAGCGGACAGAUGGGAGCUUGCUCCCUGAUGUUAGCGGCGGACGGGUGAGUAACACGUGGGUAACCUGCCUGUAAGACUGGGAUAACUCCGGGAAACCGGGGCUAAUACCGGAUGCUUGUUUGAACCGCAUGGUUCAANCAUAAAAGGUGGCUUCGGCUACCACUUACAUAUGAACCCCCGGCUCAUUGGCUAAUUGGUGAGGUAAUGGCUCACCUGGGCAGCGAUUCAUAGCCUACCUGAAGGGUGAUCAGCCACACUGGGACUGAAACCCUGCCCAAACUCCUACGGGAGGCAGCAGUAGGGAAUCUUCCGCAAUGGACGAAAGUCUGACGGAGCAACGCCGCGUGAGUGAUGAAGGUUUUCGGAUCGUAAAGCUCUGUUGUUAGGGAAGAACAAGUACCGUUCGAAUAGGGCGGUACCUUGACGGUACCUAACCAGAAAGCCACGGCUAACUACGUGCCAGCAGCCGCGGUAAUACGUAGGUGGCAAGCGUUGUCCGGAAUUAUUGGGCGUAAAGGGCUCGCAGGCGGUUUCUUAAGUCUGAUGUGAAAGCCCCCGGCUAACCGGGGAGGGUCAUUGGAAACUGGGGAACUUGAGUGCAGAAGAGGAGUGAAUUCCACGUGUAGCGGUGAAAUGCGUAGAGAUUGGAGGAACACCAGAUGGCGAAGGCGACUCAUCUGGUCUGAUACUGACCUGAGGAUGCGAAAGCGAUGGGGAGCGAACAGGAUUAGAUACCCUGGUAGUCCAGCCGUAAACGAUGAGUGCUAAGUGUUAGGGGGUUUCCGCCCCUUAGUGCUGCAGCUAACGCAUAAAGCAUCCGCCUGGGGAGUACGUUCGCAAGUGAAACUCAAAGGAAUUGACGGGGGCCCGCACAAGCGGUGGAGCAUGUGGUUUAAUUCGAAGCAACGCGAAGAACCUUACCAGGUCUUGACAUCCUCUGACAAUCCUAGAGAUAGGAGGUCCCUUUCGGGGGCAAAAUACCAGGUGGGGCAGGGUGUUGUUCAGUUGGUUGGAGAGGUUGGGUUAAUUCCGCAACGAGCCAACCCUUGAUCUUAGUUGCCAGCAUUCAGUUGGGCACUCUAAGGUGACUGCCGGUGACAAACCGGAGGAAGGUGGGGAUGACGUCAAAUCAUCAUGCCCCUUAUGACCUGGGCUACACACGUGCUACAAUGGACAGAACAAAGGGCAGCGAAACCGCGAGGUUAAGCCAAUCCCACAAAUCUGUUCUCAGUUCGGAUCGCAGUCUGCAACUCGACUGCGUGAAGCUGGAAUCGCUAGUAAUCGCGGAUCAGCAUGGCGCGGUGAAUACGUUUCCGGGCCUUUACACACCCCCCGUCACACCACGAGAGUUUGUAACACCCGAAGUCGGUGAGGUAACCUUUUAGGAGCCAGCCGCCGAAGGUGGGACAGAUGAUUGGGGUGAAGUCGUAACAAGGUAGCCGUAU